This is a non-coding RNA of Pelobates cultripes (western spadefoot toad), 662 nucleotides long. The record is from the annotation of a GenBank genome assembly. NCBI's taxonomy places the organism in Eukaryota, Metazoa, Chordata, Amphibia, Anura, Pelobatidae.
CGUGUAGUCACUGAUGCCCAUACAUACUGACAUAUACUCAUCAACAGACAUUGGCACACAAACUAAUGCUGCAUCCCAUACAAACACUGGCACACAAUCACUAAUGCAUACACACUCCCUGACAUACACACACAUUGAUCCACACUGACACAUUGAUCCAUACUGACACGCACACACACACACACUGACACAUUGAUCCAUACUGACACACACACACACACAUUGAUCCAUACUGACACAUUGAUCCAUACUGACACACACACACACAUUGAUCCAUACUGACACAUUGAUCCAUACUAACACACACACACACACACACAUUGAUCCAUAUUGACACACACACACAUUGAUCCAUACUGACACAUUGAUCCAUAAUGACACACACACACACACACAUACGUUGAUCCAUACUGACACACACACAUUGAUCCAUACUGACACACACACACAUUGAUCCAUAAUGACACAUUGAUCCAUACUGACACACACACACAUUGAUCCACACUGACACAUUGAUCCAUACUGACACACACACACACAUUGAUCCAUACUGACACAUUGAUCCAUACUGACACACACACACAUUGAUCCAUACUGACACAUUGAUCCAUACUGACACACACACACACAUUGAUCCAUACUGACACAUUGAUCCAUCCUGA